Vicia villosa (hairy vetch) is the source of this 2075-nucleotide long non-coding RNA. RefSeq lists it as uncharacterized. The transcript has 3 exons. NCBI's taxonomy places the organism in Eukaryota, Viridiplantae, Streptophyta, Magnoliopsida, Fabales, Fabaceae. The record is from RefSeq and is a predicted model, not a curated record.
GUUGAAACCCAUUUCUCUCUCUUCUUCCUCAUUUUCCUUCUUUUCAUCAACUCUCUCUGUCUUCUCUCUCUUUCCCCUCAAACCCUAUGUCCGCCGCCGCCCCUUUCUCUCCUGUAUCUACGACUACUACCAACGUAAAAACCAUUUUUCGUACGCCUGCUCAUUCAAUAUCUGGCAAUAUAUGAUACCUCAGAGAUGAAACGCAUUCGGCUGGUGCUGUUUGUUUGAUAAAACUCGAGACUUCUGUGACUGUUGCAGGGUGUAAUGGUGAUUCUGGGUAUUCAACUGAAUGCGGUGUCUGUUGUAAACCUGAUUAUGUCAAUAUGGAUUGCUGUGGAAUUUUGUGUGCAUAUAGCCCAUGCAUUCAUGGUUAGUUUAAUCAUCUGUUUUGUUUCAGGUGUCUGCCAUGGAAAUUACUUUAGCUUGUGGAAAUUACUUUAGUCCCCCUAUUAAAAAAAUGCAUGUUUACUUUAGCUGGUGUUUGAGGUAAUUUUAUACAACUUCAACUAAUUCUUGUAAUUUCUAAUUUAUUUCCAUUCAUUUCUAAACUAAAACUAUAUCAUCUCUUGCUCUAACUUUUGCUUAUGUACUUGUGGGAAUUAAUUAGACUUGGUACUGUAAGAGAUAAAGGUGUGGAAUUUAUUUUGUCAUUAGAGGAGCUUCUAAUAAUUGUGCAGAAAAUUAGCUUUCCUUUGGAUGCAAUAAACAAAGAAAUAAGUCAAAAUUAUGUUGUUUAAACAGAGUUAGCAUGAAGAAUCUAGAAGUAUAAAGAAAAAUGCAUUUAAUUAUGAUGAAUUGUUGAGUUUUGAAUGAUAAAACCAAGUUAUUUAGAUGUGUAUAAUCAUAUUUUGUUCUUAAUUCGACUUUACACAUCCAAAAGAUACUUGGAAGAUGUUUUUGCCCUUAGAUGGGGCAUUCCUUUUCGGCGCAUCUGCCGUGGUGUUGGGAGGACAACCCAAGCUCCGUCAUUCCAAUGGGCAAGGAUGCUGGUCUACGAAGUUUGCUAAAUUUAUUUUUUAUUUGCUUAAGAAUGCUAAGAGCAAUGGGAGCAAUACUAAAUUAUGUCUUUUAUAUUUUAAGUUUGAUAUUGACUUUCAUAUUGUAGUUUGAUAUUUUUAACCAACUUUUAAUCACAUUGUUCUAUUAAUUUUCUAAUUCCAAUUAAAAGGUUUGGAUGCGGAUGUACUCUUUGUUUCUCAUAUGCAGGUCAAUCAAGCUCGAAUGCAAAGACGUCGUACUUACAGGGCUCAUGGAAGCACUCUUUGUUUCUCAUAUCCAAAUGACAUCUAUGUCCUCGGGGAUGUUGUGUUUGAGAGGGUGUUUAAUGUUGUAUAUUCAGCCUUGCUGGUGUAUUUGAUUUUGCCAGGUGUUGCUGUAUUGUUGCAGUUUCUGGUUUCUUUUUGUUGAUUGUUAGCAUUUUAAAACAGUUUGUUUGGUUCUUUGACAUGUCUUAGGUCUGAGUUUAUAUAUUUUCUGUUGUUUCAAAAAAAUGAUUCAUCCUGUUAGAAGUCAUAUGGUUAUAUAAAUAUAUCAUAAACCAUUUGUUUGUUUAUUAUAUAUGGUUAUAUAAAUAUAUCAUACUGUUAGAAUGUCAAUGCUAUUAUAUUAUAUAUGUGUUAUAUAUGUGAUACCAGAACAACUUCAUAGCUAAAUUAUCAAUGCUAUUAAUCAAUUACUACUUUAGCUUUUAUGAUAAGGUUUAUUUGGGUACUGUCAUGAUAAUGUAUCAAACAAACUGUUUUAAUCUGAAUGAAAGAUUAUUAUCUCUCUGUAGAAAUUUGAGAAGCAGCAUCCUUUGUCAUAAAAAUAAAAGAAGGAAUACUAUAGUGAUAGAAAAAAAAGAAGAGAAAUACUACACCACAAUUUUACUUUCUUUUUCUUUUUAGAUUUCUGAUAUGUUUCUUUUCAAAUCUAUUAAAUCUUGAAUUUUUGUGUAACAAGUAUAAAUACAUUUCAAUCAGGUGAUAAUGUAUAAAAUUCUGAUGUUUUCUUCUCUUUUCAAAAUUAUUUUAAAUAUUUUACUUUGUUUAUACAUUUUCUCAUCUAUUAUGAACUAACAACCUAACACUAAAUUG